Pantherophis guttatus is the source of this 420-nucleotide long non-coding RNA. RefSeq lists it as uncharacterized. Lineage: Eukaryota; Metazoa; Chordata; Lepidosauria; Squamata; Colubridae. The record is from RefSeq and is a predicted model, not a curated record.
GAAGCUUUUUCCUGAAUGAAUGAAUAUCCCUCUGAUCUAUGACAGAAUCCAAUUCUGCUCAACUUUGGGACUGGAGGUUUCUGUGGUGUUCAUCUUUGGGGAUGAUCAAGAAAUCCACCCAUGGCAAGAUAUGUACAUGAAUGGUCAGCUACAUCAUGUAAUAUGUCACUGAAGAUCCUCAAUCAUCCAGGGCUGGCUUGGCAUGUAUUGUUGAGACCUGUGAGGACAUGGAGAGGGGUCCCAUCUAAGAAAAGUACCCACCUACAAUGCCUGCGGAGAGAGAGAAAAUGACUAUCAUCUGGGAGAUUCUUGGCCUUGCUUGAUUGAAUAUUUAUCAUCAUUGGAGCGUCGAUCUAUUGUGAAGAUCUUUAUGUCAUUUUAGACAUAAAGAUGGUUUUGACACCUUUUGUUCAGUGUUUG